This 409-nucleotide ribosomal RNA is filed under the name uncultured bacterium. RNAcentral describes it as "bacterial SSU rRNA". It matches the Rfam family "Bacterial small subunit ribosomal RNA", at positions 355 to 775 of the family's 1533-position model. The record is from RNAcentral.
UGGGGAAUCUUGCACAAUGGGCGCAAGCCUGAUGCAGCGACGCCGCGUGCGGGAUGACGGCCUUCGGGUUGUAAACCGCUUUCAGCAGGGACGAAGCGAUAAGUGACGGUACCUGCAGAAGAAGCCCCGGCCAACUACGUGCCAGCAGCCGCGGUAAUACGUAGGGGGCGAGCGUUGUCCGGAUUUAUUGGGCGUAAAGAGCUCGUAGGUGGCUGUUCAAGUCGGGUGUGAAAUCCCAAGGCUUAACUUUGGGUCUGCAUUCGAUACUGGGUGGCUUGAGUCUGGUAGGGGGACCUGGAAUUCCUGGUGUAGCGGUGGAAUGCGCAGAUAUCAGGAGGAACACCGGUGGCGAAGGCGGGGUCCUGGGCCAGUACUGACGCUGAGGAGCGAAAGCGUGGGGAGCAAACAG